GACGAACGCUGGCGGCGUGCUUAACACAUGCAAGUCGAACGAAGAGCGAUGGAAGCUUGCUUCUCUCCAUCUUAGUGGCACACGCGUGAGUAACGCGUAAUCAACCCUCCCUUCAGAGGGGGACCACAGUUGGCAACGACUGCUAAUACCACAUACGAUCUAACCCCGGCAUCGGGGAAAGAAGUAAGGUGGCCUCUAUGUAUAAGCUAUCACUCCCGGCAGGGAUUGCGUCCGAUCAGCUAGUAGCAGGGGUAACGUCCUGCCAAGGCGAUGAUCCGUAGUCGUCCUGAGAUGAUAACCACCCACAUCGCGACUGCGACUCGGCUCAGACUUCUACGGGAGGCAGCAGUCGCGAUUUUUCCGGCAUGGACGAAAGUCUGACGCAGCAACGCCGCGUUAGUGCUGACGGCGUCCGGGUUGUAAAGCUCUGUUAUUCGCGACGAAAGGCCUUCUUGCGAAUAGUGAGACGGAUUGACGGUCCCGGACAAGAAAGCCACGGCUAACUCCGUG
RNAcentral lists this ribosomal RNA (510 nucleotides) under uncultured bacterium. Its description in RNAcentral is "partial 16S ribosomal RNA". It matches the Rfam family "Bacterial small subunit ribosomal RNA", at positions 28 to 507 of the family's 1533-position model. The record is from RNAcentral.